Molecule: microRNA precursor, 61 nt
Filed under: Echinops telfairi (small Madagascar hedgehog)
Lineage: Eukaryota; Metazoa; Chordata; Mammalia; Afrosoricida; Tenrecidae
Description: Ete-Mir-592_pre stem-loop
Source: RNAcentral
UUGUGUCAAUAUGCGAUGAUGUGUUGUGAUGACACAGCGUCAUCACGUGGUGACGCAACAU